This 253-nucleotide ribosomal RNA is filed under the name uncultured bacterium. Its description in RNAcentral is "partial 16S ribosomal RNA". It matches the Rfam family "Bacterial small subunit ribosomal RNA", at positions 524 to 776 of the family's 1533-position model. The record is from RNAcentral.
UACGGAGGGGGCUAGCGUUGUUCGGAAUUACUGGGCGUAAAGCGUGCGCAGGCGGUUUUGUAAGCCAGAUGUGAAAUCCCCGGGCUUAACCUGGGAAUGGCAUUUGGGACUGCAAGGCUGGAGUGUGGCAGAGGAGACUGGAAUUCCCGGUGUAGCAGUGAAAUGCGUAGAUAUCGGGAGGAAUACCGAUGGCGAAGGCAGGUCUCUGGGCUGACACUGACGCUCAUGCACGAAAGCGUGGGGAGCAAACAGG